RNAcentral lists this ribosomal RNA (253 nucleotides) under uncultured bacterium. Its description in RNAcentral is "partial 16S ribosomal RNA". It matches the Rfam family "Bacterial small subunit ribosomal RNA", at positions 524 to 776 of the family's 1533-position model. The record is from RNAcentral.
UACGUAGGGUGCGAGCGUUGUCCGGAAUUACUGGGCGUAAAGAGCUCGUAGGUGGUUUGUCGCGUUGUUCGUGAAAACUCACAGCUCAACUGUGGGCGUGCGGGCGAUACGGGCAGACUAGAGUACUGCAGGGGAGACUGGAAUUCCUGGUGUAGCGGUGGAAUGCGCAGAUAUCAGGAGGAACACCGGUGGCGAAGGCGGGUCUCUGGACAGUUCCUGACGCUGAGGCACUAAGGCCAGGGGAGCAAACGGG